GAUGAAGAACGUAGUGAAAUGCGAUAAGUAAUGUGAAUUGCAGAAUUCAGUGAAUCAUCGAAUCUUUGAACGCACAUUGUGCCCGCCAGUAUUCUGGCGGGCAGGCCUGUUCGAGCGUCAUUACAACCCUCAGGCCCCCGGGCCUGGCGUUGGGGAUCGGCGGAGCCCCCCGUGGGCACACGCCGUCCCCCAAAUGCAGUGGCGGUCCCGCCGCAGCUUCCAUCGCGUAGUAGCUAACACCUCGCGACUGGAGAGCGGCGCGGCCACGCCGUAAAACACCCAACUCUUCUGAAGUUGACCUCGAAUCAGGUAGGAAUACCCGCUGAACUUAAGCAUAUCAAUAAGCGGAGGA
This 352-nucleotide unclassified non-coding RNA is filed under the name soil metagenome. RNAcentral's name for it is "partial contains 5.8S ribosomal RNA, internal transcribed spacer 2, and large subunit ribosomal RNA". The stretch from base 1 to 120 matches the Rfam family "5.8S ribosomal RNA", at positions 35 to 154 of the family's 154-position model. The record is from RNAcentral.